This 877-nucleotide ribosomal RNA is filed under the name uncultured eukaryote. RNAcentral describes it as "SSU rRNA". It matches the Rfam family "Eukaryotic small subunit ribosomal RNA", at positions 636 to 1469 of the family's 1831-position model. The record is from RNAcentral.
CGGUGUUCAACUGGCGUGUCCGCGGGACGUCCUGCCGGUGGGCUUAGCCCGCAAGGGCGGCCCAACUUCAAAUCCCAUCGCGGUGCUCUUCACUGAGUGUCGAGGUGGGCCGGCACGUUUACUUUGAACAAAUUAGAGUGCUUAAAGCAGGCUAAAACUUCGCCUGAAUACUGUGUGCAUGGAAUAAUGGAAUAGGACCUCGGUUCUAUUUUGUUGGUUUUCGGAACCCCGAGGUAAUGAUUAAUAGGAACGGAUGGGGGCAUUCGUAUUGCGACGUUAGAGGUGAAAUUCUUGGAUCGUCGCAAGACGGACAGAAGCGAAAGCAUUUGCCAAAAACGCUUUCAUUGAUCAAGAACGAAAGUUAGAGGUUCGAAGGCGAUCAGAUACCGCCCUAGUUCUAACCAUAAACGAUGCCAGCUAGCGAUCCGUCGACGUUCCUCCGAUGACUCGACGGGCAGCUUCCGGGAAACCAAAGCUUUUGGGUUCCGGGGGAAGUAUGGUUGCAAAGCUGAAACUUAAAGGAAUUGACGGAAGGGCACCACCAGGAGUGGAGCCUGCGGCUUAAUUUGACUCAACACGGGAAACCUCACCAGGCCCGGACACCGGAAGGAUUGACAGAUUGAGAGCUCUUUCUUGAUUCGGUGGGUGGUGGUGCAUGGCCGUUCUUAGUUGGUGGAGCGAUUUGUCUGGUUAAUUCCGAUAACGAACGAGACUCUAGCCUGCUAACUAGGCGUAUUUUCGACAUCUCAAAGGUCCGUCGUCCCGGCCCUCGGGUCAUGGGCGUGCGCGAUUUUUACUGUCGGCGUACUAUCAAUUCUUCUUAGAGGGACAGGUGGCUUCUAGCCGCACGAGAUUGAGCAAUAACAGGUCUGUGAUG